RNAcentral lists this ribosomal RNA (251 nucleotides) under uncultured prokaryote. Its description in RNAcentral is "partial 16S rRNA". It matches the Rfam family "Bacterial small subunit ribosomal RNA", at positions 525 to 775 of the family's 1533-position model. The record is from RNAcentral.
ACGGGGGUUGCAAGCGUUGUCCGGAAUUACUAGGCGUAAAGGGCAGGUAGGCGGAUCCAUAAGUUUUUUGUUAAAGGCAACGGCUUACCCGUUGUAAGGCAGGAGAUACUGUGGAUCUGGAAUGCGGUUGGGGAAGACAGAAUUCCUGGUGUUGCGGUGGAAUGCGCAGAUAUCAUGAGGAAAACCGGCGGCGAAGGCGGUCUUCUGGAACGUAAUUGACGCUAAUGCUCGAAAGUGUGGGUAGUAAACAG